Molecule: ribosomal RNA, 319 nt
Filed under: uncultured eukaryote
Lineage: Eukaryota
Description: partial 18S ribosomal RNA
Rfam family: Eukaryotic small subunit ribosomal RNA
Source: RNAcentral
CCCUUAGAUGUUCUGGGCAGCACGCGCGCUACAAUGGUCUUCGCAAACGGAUGCAUUCUCGAAGGAGAAUGCCAAUCUUGGAAUCUAUGCCUUGGUCGGGACAGUUGCUUGCAAUUUUUCGACUCGAACCAGGAAUUCCUUGUAAUCGUGAUUCAUCACAUCACGAUGAAUACGUCCCUGCCCUUUGUACACACCGCCCGUCGCUCCUACCGAUCGAAGAGUUAGGUGAAUUGUUUUGAUCGAUAAGAUUUGACUAUGGUCAACUCUCGUUGGGAAAUUCUGUGAAUCUGACUGUUUAGAGGAGGGAAAAGUCGUAACA